CGCCCUUGAGUUUGAUCAUGGCUCAGAUUGAACGCUGGCGGCAGGCCUAACACAUGCAAGUCGAGCGGAUGAAGAGAGCUUGCUCUCUGAUUCAGCGGCGGACGGGUGAGUAAUGCCUAGGAAUCUGCCUGGUAGUGGGGGACAACGUCUCGAAAGGGACGCUAAUACCGCAUACGUCCUACGGGAGAAAGCAGGGGACCUUCGGGCCUUGCGCUAUCAGAUGAGCCUAGGUCGGAUUAGCUAGUUGGUGAGGUAAUGGCUCACCAAGGCAACGAUCCGUAACUGGUCUGAGAGGAUGAUCAGUCACACUGGAACUGAGACACGGUCCAGACUCCUACGGGAGGCAGCAGUGGGGAAUAUUGGACAAUGGGCGAAAGCCUGAUCCAGCCAUGCCGUUUUUUUUGAAGAAGGUCUUCGGAUUGUAAAGCACUUUAAGUUGGGAGGAAGGGUUGUAGAUUAAUACUCUGCAAUUUUGACGUUACCGACAGAAUAAGCACCGGCUAACUCUGUGCCAGCAGCCGCGGUAA
This 527-nucleotide ribosomal RNA is filed under the name uncultured Pseudomonas sp. Its description in RNAcentral is "bacterial SSU rRNA". It matches the Rfam family "Bacterial small subunit ribosomal RNA", at positions 1 to 523 of the family's 1533-position model. Lineage: Bacteria; Pseudomonadati; Pseudomonadota; Gammaproteobacteria; Pseudomonadales; Pseudomonadaceae. The record is from RNAcentral.